GCUGCUGGGAUUACAGGCAUGAGCCACCGUGCCCGGCCAGAAGAGACACAUAUCUGACUCAAGUGUCAAAUCAGGCAAUCCUAUAAGUUGGUACAUUCUGCCACCCUUACCCUACUCACUAAAGUGCUCAAAGCUCUCCCUCCCAGAAGACACUGCACAGUGCCCUACAGUGUGUCCCUGGUGUUUUUUUUUUUUUUUUUUUUUGCUUUGCAAGUUCUUGCAUGCCUCCUUAGGGUGAGUUUUUUUUGUUGUUGUUGUUUGUUUGUUUUUUUUGUCUUUUAAAACAGUUCUCCCCCCUUCACAAAUAUGAGAUAAUUCAGAAGACAGGCAUUAUUUUUGUCUUUUCCCCUAAAUACAACCAUCCAAUUGGCUGACCAGGAAGAACUGGGGCUGGGGAAAGAAAAUCUUAAGAUCCCCAAAGGUUCUUUUUAUGGGAAGGGUAAACCAGGAUAUUUCUCUCAGCCUCAGGACAUUCAGCUGCUCUCCUGAGAAGCUCCAUUUCCAUACAUCAGUGUGUCCUCUGGAAGGAGAUGACCAAGGGGCUGAUAUUCACCAAACCUUCCAAAAGGUUAAAGUAGGGACUGGUGACCCCACAGACCAGAGCUCCUUCCACGCAGAAGCCCUGCACACCAAGUCGGCGUCUUUCCCUGGUGAACCUCUCCUCAUCACCUCACAAGCUGGGGAAGAUGCGGGCGCAGAGCUGCGCAAAGAGGGCUACAGGCUGGGGCCAAAGCCGCUGUGCUGAAACGGUACAGGACGCCUGGGUACCCUGCACCAGAGGAGACUGAGGGCUGAGCUGAGGGGGGCUCAGGCUCACAGACUCGGUCCCGCCACCGCCAUUUCCGGCCGACUCCGAUGAGGCCUCCCCAGUCUCCGGACGCCCUGACCCGCAAACUCAGCAUUUCUCGGCUUUGUGGGUGUCCUGGAGUCUUAGCUAUGAAUGUUCCAAUACCAGUAGGUCACAGGGCGACGGAGGAUGAGGCUGUGGCAGAAUCACCGAGACCUCCUGGAGCGGAGCACGCAGGCCAGUGAUGUACUAACCCCAAGCUCUACCUGGAGCGAAAGACAAAGGCCCCGCCAGAUACCGGGAGCCGCCCCUUCCUCUCUGGCUGUGAAUCUGAUUGGACAGUUUCCAUCCCAGCACCCUGAUUGGAUAGAGCUCCCGGCCCCGCGCCCUCGGGCCUUGAGUGACAGAAGAUGCUACCAGACAGUGCACUGAAUGAGGCAAGAGUGACAGACUCUUGGCUCCAGUCAUCUCCAGCAAGGGCUUUACCUCUGAGCUGGGCUUAGCUCUGCCUGGGGGUAAUUUUUUAAUCUUGUGUAUAAGGUUAGGUCCACUUAUAAAUUUUAUACACACACAUAUAUGUUGUUUACAAAUGGAAACACUAUAAUGGCAAUUAUUUUAAUAUUUAAUAUUUCAUAACACUUCCGGCCCCUGAUCUUCUGAGUAGGCAACCUGAGAUUUUAAAAGAAAAGCAAUCCUCUAAAACAUAAAAUGUCAGCCGUGUGUGAAUUUUAAAUAUUUUAGUAGCCACAUUAAACAUAAUAAAAAGAAACAAGUGAAAUUAUUUUUUAACCCAGUACAUCCAAAAUAUUAUUAUUUUAACCCAUUUAUGCCUGAGGUUGCAAUUUUUAAAAUUUUUGCAGUCAGACGUUGGCAAUGACCUUGAGCAGUGAGAUAUAAAUAACUCCCAUAUGCUUAGUGUUCCAAUAAUGGAACACUGGGAAUAAAUGUGUGAUCAACAUAUAAUAAUUAUUAUUAUCAUCAUCUUUUUUUUGAGACAGAGUUUUGCUCUUGUUGCCCAGGCUAGAGUGCAAUGGCGUGAUCUCAGCUCACUGCAACCUCUGCCUCCUGGGUUCAAUCACUUCUUCUGCCUCAGCCUCCCAAGUAGCUGGGAUUACAGAUGUGGGCCACCACACCCAGCUAAUUUUGUAUUUUUAGUAGAGACAGGGUUUUGCCAUGUUGGCCAGGCUGGUCUUGAACUCCUGGCCUCAGUGAUCCACCCAUCUCGGCCUCUCAAAGUGCUGGGAUUACAGGUGUGAGCAACCUCACCCAGCCCAAUAUAUAAUAAUGAUAAUAAUAAUUAUUAUUAUUAUUUUGAGAUGGAGUCUCACUCUGUCGCCCAGGCUGGAGUGCAGUGGCACAAUCUUGGCUCAUGGCAAGCUCCGCCUCCUGGGUUCACGCCAUUCUUCUCCCUCAGCCUCCCGAGUAGCUGGGACUACAGGCACCCACCACCACGCCCAACUAAUUUUUUGUAUUUUUAGUAGAGACGCAUUUCACCAUGUUGGCAGGAUGGUCUCGAUAUCCUGACCUUAUGAUCCACCCGCCUCGGCCUCCCAAAGUGCUGGGAUUACAGGCGUGAGCCACCGUGCCUAGCCCAGUAUGUAAUUAUUAAUAGAGUGAUUUUUGGUUCUAAAUUUUCUUAACUGACUCUAUUUCAUAUCUGCAGCACAUCUCAUUUUAAAUCAGCCACAUUCCAGGUACCCAGUAGCCUCAAAUGGCAAGUAGCUGGCACAUUGAAGUGCAUCUCUGAAGACUGUGACUCUCUGACCUCAAAGAGGUAAAGGACCUGAAUAUCCUUUUUCUGCUGGAAGUGAGAGAACAGCCUCUGCCUAUAAACUUCUCUGUUCAGGCCCAAGGGUGGGAGGCACAGUGCCCUUAGACAGAGCAGCAGCUGCAAGCAGGAAGUGUCCACAUGUAGACCACUGUGUCCCAGUUGCUGUUUGGAGGGGAUUUCUCUUCCAAAUAUCAGACAGUAAACAAUGGAUGAUAGGGCCUCAGAAGGAGGAAACCCCAUGUCUUCACAUCUCUUCACAGUGUUGACCUCCAAAGUUCAGAUGUGGAGGGAAUAGAUUAAAGGCUGAUAUGGUUUGGCUCUUUGUCCCAACCCAAAUCUCAUCUUGAGUUGUAAUCCCCACAUGUCGGGGAGGGGCCUUGUGGGAGGUGAUUGAGUCGUGGGGGCAGACUUCCUCUUGCUGCUCUCUGAUAGAGUUCUCAGGAGAUCUGGUUGUUUGAUAAGUCUAUAGUGCUUUCUCUCUCUUUCACUCUCUCCUGCCACCUGUUGAAG
Molecule: long non-coding RNA, 3068 nt
Filed under: Homo sapiens (human)
Lineage: Eukaryota; Metazoa; Chordata; Mammalia; Primates; Hominidae
Description: HSALNT0257115
Source: RNAcentral